This is a long non-coding RNA of Bubalus bubalis (water buffalo), 2105 nucleotides long. RefSeq lists it as uncharacterized. The transcript has 3 exons. NCBI's taxonomy places the organism in Eukaryota, Metazoa, Chordata, Mammalia, Artiodactyla, Bovidae. The record is from RefSeq and is a predicted model, not a curated record.
CUGCUGGUGUCCACUGGGUGACCUUUUGAACAUGGAGAGGGUUGUAGAUUAGCUACACCUGUGCAGGACCACGAGAAUCGCAUCUUUUCGCAAUCAACUUUCCCCCACGCCCCCUCUCGCCUCAGCCAGCCCCCCUCUGCUUCUUCAUUGGUCAUCCCCUGAAUACUCCACCCGCUUGUCUUCUGGGACGUGUAUUUGAGGCUUGUUCUCCCAUUUCCUCGCCUUGCAAGUAAACUGUCUUCUCUGCGAGCCUCGGUGACUCAGCGUUUUGGCUGGCUCUGCCUCCCGAAAAAUGAACCUGGCUCAGUAACAAAUUUGGUGGGUCAACCAGGAGGGACCAGGUUUAGGAAGAAGGAGCAACAGAGAAUGAGACAACAGGCCACUCCGCUGACGGCUGCCUUAGCACAUUUGGUCCACAGAGCUGGACCAAAUCAAGGACCCCCAUGAGGGACUUGGCAAAAGAUUGCAUCUUGCAUCAAAGCACCAUUGCAAAUGGAAUAUAAGAUACAAAGAAAUGAACAUAGUUUCUUUUUGCUUCUCCUGUUGCCAUGUGGAGACAACCUAGUGGAAAAUCUCAGUGGAGAAAGUCAUCCAGCUGUGAAGACCGUUCCUUCGGGAAACAAUGAUGUCUUUAGAAAAAGGAGAGACAGUGAAAUGUUUUCUUCUCCUUAACAUGUUUUAUUCAAACUGGAAAAUUCCUAAUGAAGAUAUUUUAUCUGCAGUUACCAUGUUCAUCUCAUUUCCUUGCAAGGUGUACUGAGCUGAUGAGACAGAUGUUUAAAUAAGACUGCCAUGGAUACUAGGUAAUAAUGGUAACAGGUUGCUAAUACAUGGUGCUUAGAAUGUGCUCGGUAUUAAUCAAAGUGCUUGGAAAUAUUAGUCCACCACAACUCUUUGAGAUAGACACCAUUAUCUCCAUUUUACAGAUGGGGAAAGUGAGGCACAGAGAGGUCAACUAAUUUGACCAAGUUCACACAGCUAGUAAGUAGAAGAGCUGGGUUUGUUUGUAGUCUAGAAGUUGUGUCUGACACUUUUGCAACGCUAUGGACUAUAGCCUGCCAGGCUCCUCUGUCCAAGGGAUUUCCCAGGCAAGAAUACUGGAGUGGGUUGCCAUUUCCUUCUCCAGGGGAUCUUCCCAGACCAAGGAUCAAACCCAUGUCUCCUGCGCUGGCAGGCCAAUUCUUUACCCCUGAGCCACCAGGGAAGCCCAUGUGAUGGGAAUAGAAGAGCUGGGAUUAGACACUAAAUACUUACGGCUCUAGAUCCAAACUCUUAUUCACAACCCUCUAAGCUUAUAUUUUUAUGUACUUAAAAAUAUAUAUACAUAUAUAGAUAGGCAUUAAGCUGUGAAAAAAAGGACUUUAGUUCUCACGUAUGCACUAAGGACAAGGAUUUAGAGCAUUUCCCCAAUGAAAUGUUUGCCUUGUCAACUCAGAAAAAGAAUUCCUCUAUUUUUUAGCCAACAAUUUUCCAAGAAGAAGAUGGUAGAAUACCUAAGACAUGCCAUCACUGAACGAGGCGUUUUUCUCAUCACUUGAGCAAUGAAUCUGACUUUGUUUCUGGUAUAACAAGAACAUCAUCAGUGCAAACGGAUUUACAUGCAUCAAAGAUUGUGUUUUGAAAGGAAGUGUCUCACAGGACUGAAUCCGUCAGUUCCUUAGAUAGUUAAUUUCAGGGGUUCACAAAACAAAGAUUCUGGGGUCUCUUUCCUAUAUAAGUCACAGAAACAUGAAAGCUGACAGCAGUCUACUUGUCUUGAUGUCAUGGUUUUAAUCAAAAGAAUAAAUUUUAUGUAAAUCAAGUAAUCUGAACGUCAGUUACUUUAUCUGUAUAAGAGGUUUUAUUUAUUUAGAUGUUUUAAAUAGUCCUAAAUCACUGGGUUAUUAUUGAAAAAUCACAUAAAAUAGUUGUAAAACCAUUUUGUACAUUGUGAGAUUUAUAUAUUAGUGACUAUUGUUUUUAUAACUGAGGGAUAUUUCAAAUAAGUUGAUUAUAAAGUUAUUUUAAGACAGAAGAAAGAUAAGGACACUAAUUCUAACAAACUCAAACAUAUAUUUGACUCUUAUUCAUUUUUGUAUUAAUAAAACACCUUUACAUUAUGAGGA